This 284-nucleotide long non-coding RNA is filed under the name Gossypium barbadense (sea-island cotton). RNAcentral describes it as "long non-coding RNA (GBAR_LNC009262)". The record is from RNAcentral. Lineage: Eukaryota; Viridiplantae; Streptophyta; Magnoliopsida; Malvales; Malvaceae.
GGCGAGCCAUCUCCCCCUCCGGUGACUUCUGUUGGGGUUUCGUAUUAUGAUGGCCAUCAGUAUCCGAUUGAAACCCUCAAAUAUCCUGGUUAUGCCCAAAUCGACCACACCCAAAACAAACAGUGGGAAGACCUUCAUAUCUACCCUUUGAAGAACACCAUUGAUUCGUAUUUUCGACACGAAAGGAGAGCAUAAACCAACACAGAUAGCCAUGCGAGCAAAACAACCUUUCGAACCAUUAUCCUUGUUAUAGUCCACCUUCACAUCGCGACCAAUAAUAUUAC